GCCUAUUUUUGGCACACGGAGGCCGCUAGCAAAGUCUCCCGGCAUUCCGAGUCCGGCGGACGAAGUGGGCCAGCGCCACCCCCCAAGGCUAUAGCCCACCCGUUUUUGUGGCCUUUUUGCACUGGACGAACUUGGCGCCCCGGCCUUCGGGUGGUUAUUUUUGGGCGCGGCUUUGCCCGAGGUCUAUUUUUGGCACACGGAGGCCCCUCGAAAAGUCUCGCGGCAUUCCGAGUCCGGCGGAUGAAGUUGGCCAGCCCCACCCCCCGAGGCUAUAGCCCACCCGUUUUUGUGGCCUUUUUCCGCUGGACGAACUUGGCGCCCCGGCCUUCGGGCGGUUAUUUUUGGGCGCGGCUUUGCCCGUGGCCUAUUUUUGGCACACGGAGGCCCCUCGCAAAGUCUCGCGGCAGUCCGAGUCCGGCGGACGAAGUUGGCCAGCCCCACCCCCCAAGGCUAUAGCCCACCUGUUUUUGUGGCCUUUUUCCGCUGGACGAACUAGGCGCCCCGGCCUUCGGGCGGUUAUUUUUGGGCGCGGCUCUGCCCACGGCCUAUUUUUGGCACACGGAGGCCCCUCGCAAAGUCUCGCGGCAUUCCGAGUCCGGCGGACGAAGUUGGCCAGCCCCACCACCCAAGGCUAUAGCCCACCCGUUUUUGUGGCUUUUUUCCGCUGGACGCACUUGGCGCCCCGGACUUCGGGCGUUUAAUUUUGGGUGCCUCAUUGCCCGCGGCCUAUUUUUGGCACACGGAGGCCCCUCGCAAUGUCUCGCGGCAUUCCGAGUCCGGCGGACGAAGUGGGCCAGCCCCACCGCCCAAGGCUAUAGCCCACCCGUUUUUGUGGCCUUUUUCCGCUGGACGAACUUGGCGCCCCGGCCUUCGGGCGGUUAUUUUCUGGCCGGCUUUGACCGCGGCCUAUUUUUGGCACACGGAGGCCCCUCGCAAAGUCUCGCGGCAUUCCGAGUCCGGCGGAUGAAGUUGGCCAGCCCCACCCCCAAGGCUAUAGCCCACCCGUUUUUGUGGCCUUUUUCCGAUGGACGAACUUGGCGCCCCGGCCUUCGGCUGGUUAUUUUUGAGCGCGGCUGUACCCGCGGCCUAUUUUUGGCACAUGGAGGCGCCUCGCAAAGUCUCGCGCCAUUCCGAGUCCGGCGGACGAAGUCGGCCAGCCCCACCCCCCAAGGCUAUAGCCCACCCGUUUUUGCGGCCUUUUUCCGCUGGACGAACUUGGCGCCCCGGCCUUCGGGUGGUUAUUUUUGUGCGCGGCUGUGCCCACGGCCUAGUUUUGGCACACGGAGGUGCCUCGCAAAGUCUCGCGCCAUUCCGAGUCCGGCGGACGAAGUUGGCCAGCCACACCCCCCAAGGCUAUAGCCCACCCGUUUUUGUGGCCUUUUUCUGAUGGACG
Molecule: long non-coding RNA, 1393 nt
Filed under: Citrus x clementina
Lineage: Eukaryota; Viridiplantae; Streptophyta; Magnoliopsida; Sapindales; Rutaceae
Description: Citrus clementina (C. clementina) long non-coding RNA (CCLE_LNC006106)
Source: RNAcentral